This 29-nucleotide non-coding RNA is filed under the name Rattus norvegicus (Norway rat). Lineage: Eukaryota; Metazoa; Chordata; Mammalia; Rodentia; Muridae. The record is from RNAcentral.
GCAUAAGGAAUAAGUAGUUUGGUGUCUGA